UGGCCUCCAUAGACAGUGUUCCCACAAC
This 28-nucleotide non-coding RNA is filed under the name Mus musculus (house mouse). Lineage: Eukaryota; Metazoa; Chordata; Mammalia; Rodentia; Muridae. The record is from RNAcentral.